AUUCGGAUUCGGCAAAAAUUCAGUACGGAUAUAACAUGCAUAAAAUAUAUUUUUAAAUUUUUAAAUUCGUUGAAAAAUUCGGCUUAAAAAAUAGAUUUAGUAUAAGAUAUAAAAUAUAAGAUAAUUUGUAUUUAAAAAUAAAAAUUAUAAGUUUUUUAUUCAUAUUUUCAAUAAUUCGGAAAUAAUUCGCGAAUUAUUUGGCUGGCCCAAAAAUUCGCGAAUUAUUCAGCUGGCCCAAAAAUUCGCGAAUAAUUUCAUUUCUUUAGAAAAAAUUAGUAAACGGAUUGUUUAAUUCGGAUUUUCAAUAAUUAGCGAAUAAUUCGCGAAUUAACUAAUUAGGAUCCCAACUUGGCACUCUAACACAUAUACCCAAGAAAAAGUCAAAAAGAUCAUUCACUUUUGCCUCAUUUUUAAUGGCACCAUAUUUUAAAUCAGCCAUCUACACAGUUAAAUAAGAUUCAGACUAUUAUGUCCUGAAAAUAAAAUUUUAAAAUUUUUUGACAUUUUUUUUAUCUUAUAUUUCUGUGGUCUUAAAAUCGAUAAUCUUUAACGGCUUUUAUAUUUGAUGAAUAUCAAAAUAAAUCCCAAAAUUUGAUUGUAAUUAAGAAAGUUCAAAUAUAUAAGAUAGACCAUGUUUAAUGGUUCCGAACAUCAGUUCAGAUGCUUUGUCAUCGAGCAGUGUUCAAGCUUUAUUACUGCUAUAUUAUUUAUAUAUAUUUAUUAAAUAUAUAUGAACUUAAACAGUAUAAACUAGCAUAUUGAUAAUAAUAAUAAUAAUAAUAAUAAUAAUAAUAAUAAGUGUUUUCUUGUUUGAUGGCCUAAUGAUCAAAAUGUUUUAAAAUUUUAAUGGUUAAUAUGAAGUGUUUUCUGUUUGAUGGUGUAAAGGUAUCAAAAUCAAUUGAAUUUUAAUUAAAAAGUUCUUUAAACUAUGUAAAAUAAGAUCUCUGCUCUUGCUUUUUGUAAAUCAAUUGAAUUUUAAUUAAAAAGUUCUUUAAACUAUGUAAAACAAGAUCUCUACUCUUGAUCUUGAUUACAAAAUUUCUAUCAUUAUUUUCUAAAGGAUAUUCAUUUUUAGUUGUUCACUUUUGUGUCCACUUGAUGGACAAGAAAAUAAUAUCGAAAAAGCACGAAAUUUGGUUUCUAAAUAUUUCAAAUGGUAAUGAUGUCGAUCGUCGAUUUGGAGGCUCCAUUAUCAAAACUCGUUCGCUACUAGUAACAUUCCAGCUCAAUUUAUAGUAAUAAUUAAUAAUAAAACUAUCCGACUCUACGGUA
RNAcentral lists this long non-coding RNA (1272 nucleotides) under Ananas comosus (pineapple). RNAcentral's name for it is "long non-coding RNA (ACOM_LNC000436)". Lineage: Eukaryota; Viridiplantae; Streptophyta; Magnoliopsida; Poales; Bromeliaceae. The record is from RNAcentral.